GAUGAACGCUGGCGGCGUGCCUAAUACAUGCAAGUCGAGCGAACGGACGAGAAGCUUGCUUCUCUGAUGUUAGCGGCGGACGGGUGAGUAACACGUGGAUAACCUACCUAUAAGACUGGGAUAACUUGGGGAAACCGGAGCUAAUACCGGAUAAUAUUUUGAACCGCAUGGUUCAAAAGUGAAAGACGGUCUUGCUGUCACUUAUAGAUGGAUCCGCGCUGCAUUAGCUAGUUGGUAAGGUAACGGCUUACCAAGGCAACGAUGCAUAGCCGACCUGAGAGGGUGAUCGGCCACACUGGAACUGAGACACGGCCCAGACUCCUACGGGAGGCAGCAGUAGGGAAUCUUCCGCAAUGGGCGAAAGCCUGACGGAGCAACGCCGCGUGAGUGAUGAAGGUCUUCGGAUCGUAAAACUCUGUUAUUAGGGAAGAACAUAUGUGUAAGUAACUGUGCACAUCUUGACGGUACCUAAUCAGAAAGCCACGGCUAACUACGUG
Molecule: ribosomal RNA, 497 nt
Filed under: uncultured bacterium
Lineage: Bacteria
Description: partial 16S ribosomal RNA
Rfam family: Bacterial small subunit ribosomal RNA
Source: RNAcentral